This 397-nucleotide ribosomal RNA is filed under the name uncultured bacterium. RNAcentral describes it as "bacterial SSU rRNA". It matches the Rfam family "Bacterial small subunit ribosomal RNA", at positions 975 to 1375 of the family's 1533-position model. The record is from RNAcentral.
CUACCCUUGACAUGUCCGGAAGCCUGCUGAAAGGCGGGUGUGCUCGAAAGAGAACUGGAACACAGGUGCUGCAUGGCUGUCGUCAGCUCGUGUCGUGAGAUGUUGGGUUAAGUCCCGCAACGAGCGCAACCCUUGUCCUUAGUUGCUACGCAAGGGCACUCUAAGGAGACUGCCGGUGACAAACCGGAGGAAGGUGGGGAUGACGUCAAGUCCUCAUGGCCCUUAUGGGUAGGGCUUCACACGUCAUACAAUGGACGGUACAGAGGGUCGCCAACCCGCGAGGGGGAGCCAAUCCCGAUAAAGCCGUUCGUAGUCCGGAUUGCAGCCUGCAACUCGACUGCAUGAAGUCGGAAUCGCUAGUAAUCGCGGAUCAGCAUGCCGCGGUGAAUACGUUCCC